UACGUAGGGCGCGAGCGUUGUCCGGAUUUAUUGGGCGUAAAGAGCUUGUAGGCGGUUUGUCGCGUCUGCUGUGAAAUUUCGGGGCUCAACCCCGAACUUGCAGUGGGUACGGGCAGACUAGAGUGUGGUAGGGGAGACUGGAAUUCCUGGUGUAACGGUGAAAUGCGCAGAUAUCAGGAGGAACACCGAUGGCGAAGGCAGGUCUCUGGGCCAUAACUGACGCUGAGAAGCGAAAGCAUGGGGAGCGAACAGG
Molecule: ribosomal RNA, 253 nt
Filed under: uncultured bacterium
Lineage: Bacteria
Description: partial 16S ribosomal RNA
Rfam family: Bacterial small subunit ribosomal RNA
Source: RNAcentral